AGAUUUGAUCCUGGCUCAGGAUGAACGCUGGCGGCGUGCUUAACACAUGCAAGUCGAACGGAGUUUAUUUGAAAGCUUGCUUUUGGAUAAACUUAGUGGCGGACGGGUGAGUAACGCGUGGGUAACCUGCCUUAUACCGGGGGAUAACGUUUGGAAACGAACGCUAAUACCGCAUAAGCGCACGGGGCCGCAUGGCCCAGUGUGAAAAACUCCGGUGGUAUAAGAUGGACCCGCGUCUGAUUAGAUAGUUGGUGAGGUAACGGCCCACCAAGUUGACGAUCAGUAGCCGGCCUGAGAGGGUGAACGGCCACAUUGGGACUGAGACACGGCCCAAACUCCUACGGGAGGCAGCAGUGGGGAAUAUUGCACAAUGGGGGAAACCCUGAUGCAGCGACGCCGCGUGAGUGAAGAAGUAUUUCGGUAUGUAAAGCUCUAUCAGCAGGGAAGAAAAUGACGGUACCUGAGUAAGAAGCCCCGGCUAACUACGUGCCAGCAGCCGCGGUAAUACGUAGGGGGCAAGCGUUAUCCGGAUUUAUUGGGUUUAAAGGGUGCGCAGGCGGCUUGUUAAGCGGGAGGUGAAAUGCCGGCGCUCAACGUCGGAAGUGCCUCCCGAACUGGUGAGCUUGAAUGACUCUGCCGUGGGAGGAAUGUGUAGUGUAGCGGUGAAAUGCUUAGAGAUUACACAGAACACCGAUUGCGAAGGCAUCUCACGAAGGGUUGAUUGACGCUGAGGCACGAAAGCGUGGGGAUCAAACAGGAUUAGAUACCCUGGUAGUCCACGCAGUAAACGAUGAUGGCUAACCGCUGGUACAUACGUAUCAGUGGCCAAGCGAAAGCGAUAAGCCAUCCACCUGGGGAGUACGCACGCAAGUGUGAAACUCAAAGGAAUUGACGGGGACCCGCACAAGCGGUGGAACAUGUGGUUUAAUUCGAAGCAACGCGAAGAACCUUACUAGGGCUUGACAUCUGACGAAUCUUUGUGAAAGCAGAGAGUGCUCUUCGGAGAACGUCAAGACAGGUGGUGCACGGUUGUCGUCAGCUCGUGUCGUGAGAUGUUGGGUCAAGUCCCGCAACGAGCGCAACCCUUGUCCUCAGUAGCCAGCGGUACGGCCGGGCACUCUGGGGAGACCGCCAGGGACAACCUGGAGGAAGAUGGGGAUGACGUCAAAUCAUCAUGCCCCUUAUGAUUUGGGCUACACACGUGCUACAAUGGCGCCUGACAAAGUGAAGCGAACCCGCGAGGGCAGGCAAAUCACAAAAACGGCGUCCCAGUUCGGACUGAAGGCUGCAACCCGCCUUCACGAAGCUGGAAUCGCUAGUAAUCGCGGAUCAGAAUGCCGCGGUGAAUACGUUCCCGGGUCUUGUACACACCGCCCGUCACACCAUGGGAGUCUGCAACACCCGAAGUCCGUGACCGAGAGGAGCGGCCUAAGGCGAAAGUGGUAACUGGGGCUAAGUCGUAACAAGGUA
This 1470-nucleotide ribosomal RNA is filed under the name uncultured rumen bacterium. RNAcentral's name for it is "bacterial SSU rRNA". It matches the Rfam family "Bacterial small subunit ribosomal RNA". The record is from RNAcentral.